UGAAAAUGGUACACAGAAUUAUUCGUAUCGUGUUAUUGUUUUUUCCUACAAUAGUGAAAUGUACAAACCUCGAGGCAAGAGAUGAAAAAACUUUUCCGAAUGGAACGCUAGUUGGGACAUAUCAAUAUGUAGACGCACAGGGUAACCAAGUGCAUGUGAAGUACUUUGCUGAUGGAAAUAGUUACAGCAUCGACUUAAGAGGAUACAAAAUCCCAGAAACCGCAGCAGAGACUACCCAAAAUUUAACUGCUUCAGUAGCUGAGCCAACCACCGAGGUGACAGAUACAUUGGUACCCCUAAAAUUAGACUUUCCCGUUGUUGACAACAUUUACACAAUCGAAAACCCGCACAACUAUACUAAUGAUAUUUCUAACAAUAACCAACAAAAUGAAGAAGCGGAUGAUGAAGACCAGGCCGAAAAUUAUAAUUUUUAUAAUUCUGUGUUGAAAAUACCUACGAUUAAAACUGAUGAAAAG
Cydia strobilella is the source of this 476-nucleotide long non-coding RNA. RefSeq lists it as uncharacterized. The record is from RefSeq and is a predicted model, not a curated record. The transcript has 3 exons. NCBI's taxonomy places the organism in Eukaryota, Metazoa, Arthropoda, Insecta, Lepidoptera, Tortricidae.